This 429-nucleotide ribosomal RNA is filed under the name Gemmatimonadota bacterium. Its description in RNAcentral is "Gemmatimonadetes bacterium partial 16S ribosomal RNA". It matches the Rfam family "Bacterial small subunit ribosomal RNA", at positions 355 to 776 of the family's 1533-position model. Lineage: Bacteria; Pseudomonadati; Gemmatimonadota. The record is from RNAcentral.
UAGGGAAUCUUCGGCAAUGGACGAAAGUCUGACCGAGCAACGCCGCGUGAGUGAAGAAGGUUUUCGGAUCGUAAAACUCUGUUGUUAGAGAAGAACAAUGACGUUAGUAUCUGAACGUCCCCUGACGGUAUCUAACCAGAACGCCACGGCUAACUACGUGCCAGCAGCCGCGGUAAUACGUAGGUGGCAAGCGUUUUACGGAUUUAUUGGGCGUAAAGCGCGCGGAGGCGGUUUCUUAAGUCUGAUGUGAAAGCCCCCGGCUCAACCGGGGGGGGUCAUUGGGAACUGGGGGACUUGAGUGCAGAAGAGGAGAGUGGAAUUCCAUGUGUAGCGGUGAAAUGCGUAGAUAUAUGGAGGAACACCAGUGGCGAAGGCGGCUCUCUGGUCUGUAACUGACGCUGAGGCACGAAAGCGUGGGGAGCAAACAGG